RNAcentral lists this ribosomal RNA (119 nucleotides) under Echinostoma caproni. Lineage: Eukaryota; Metazoa; Platyhelminthes; Trematoda; Plagiorchiida; Echinostomatidae. The record is from RNAcentral.
AAUCGUGACCAUAUCACGUUGGAAACACCGGUUCUAGUCUGAUCACCGAAGUUAAGCAACAGCAGGUCCGGUUAGUACUUGCAUGGGUGACCGGCUGGGAAUACCUAUUGUUGCGGCCG